Lemur catta (Ring-tailed lemur) is the source of this 3236-nucleotide long non-coding RNA. RefSeq lists it as uncharacterized. NCBI's taxonomy places the organism in Eukaryota, Metazoa, Chordata, Mammalia, Primates, Lemuridae. The record is from RefSeq and is a predicted model, not a curated record. The transcript has 2 exons.
AUGCCCAACUGAUUUUUAAAUUUUUGUAGAGAUGGGGUCUCCCUUGCCCAGGCUGGUCUUGAACUCCUGGGCUCACCUCUGCCUCCUAAAGCGUGAGCCACCGAACUGGCCUGCCACCAACUUUUUUGCCAUCAAAGUCAAGGUCUGUCCACCCUGGGGGCUGUCUUGGGAUCCCCGGCAAGAGCUACUGUCCAGAGACCUUGGCAGAUGUUCCCCCUAAGCCCAGGAGAGGGCGCCCGACAUCAUGAAGCUCAGACGGGACAGCAUCUGCUCUGGGCCACUGUGGCUCAGGACUUACCUGUCUGGGCCAGCAGCUCUCAGCUCAGCUCUGGGCCACCCACCUCCCAGGGUCAGGCUGCCAGGAAGCUGUUCUAAAUCCUCUUCCCCCUCCCCCACAGUUCCAAGGAGUCAGCAGCGCUGUCCCAUCUCCCCCACCCCUUGGGCCUUUGGCCCCCUUAGGAGAGGGGCUGGGUGAGGGAUGCAGGGGGGCAGCAGCCAGCCCCCUCCUACUCACCCCACACCCUCCCCUGAGUCUCUCCCGAACCCCUCUCCCCGCAAAUCAGCUGUUACCAGCUGUUCAGACUGAGCAGCCAGGCCCUGGGCAGAGGCACUGUGCUCACUCCUCAGGCCUCAGUUCUUGGAUCCCCUCCUCUGUGACGUUUCUGUCCCAUGCUGCCCUGGCUGGGAGCAGAGACUGUGCCAAGGGUGAUUUGGUGGCAAGUUUCACGGGCCCUUCCCAAACCACCCCAGCAUGCAUGUGCUUGCCAUGGAGACAUGGCUCCCUAGCCCCUCCCCUUGCAGACAGACCUGCCACCCCCCAAGCCCUCCCAGGUGCAGGAGGAUUCCCCAGAGCCGGCCUCUCCCUGCUGGCUGGGGCUCUUCCCUGGUGCACUCUCCAGUGCCUGGCAACUAGUCGCUGCUCAGCAAAUGACCAUUUCCCCACAAAUUUUUAUUAAGAAAAAUUCCAAAUAUACAGAAAAGUUGAAAGAACAAGUACACUGUUCACUGAAAGACCAGCCACUGAAGAUUCAACAACGAACAUUUUUGCCUUAUUUGCUUUGUGUAUUUUUGAGGGGAACCACUUGGAAUUAAAUGACACAUUUCUUGAAGUCGUUCACCUACAUAAUUCAGCAUCUAUCUCCUAAGGACAAGGACAUUCUGCUGUAAACCUCAAUACCAUUACAUGGCUAUUAAAUGAGUGGCGUCAGUGAGGGCUCCUGGAACCCCACAGAAGCACGCUGGGCCUUGAGCUCAGUCAGUGUAACCCAGGCCCGGCUCCUCCUCCUCCUCUCAGGGGCAACACGGGAUCGGGAUCGUGGAGAGCUGUCUAGAUGGAGAAUGACAAACACCAGCUCCACCUGGGAAGCCCAGACACCCCCAGCUCUACCCUCACAUUGGCAGCUGGCAAGCUGGGUCCCAGUUCAGGGGACAGGGCAGCCAGCAGAGGGCUGCAGCACCCAGGUAGUAGCAGAGUCCCUGGGGGUGGACUGGAACAGCCAGCAUGGGCUGCAGCCCUGGCACUGCCAAAGCAGUGGGUUUAAGCCGCCAGGGUGGGCCCACAAAGCCUCCUUUUCCAGGUCCAGGGGUCAGGCAAGGAGAUCUCCUCCGGGCUGGGCCCUGCCUCGCCAGCUUUGCUGGUGGAAUUAAAUAUAGAACAGGGAGACACAGUUGCCAGGCAGGAGCAGGAGGUGCUGUGAAUAGAACAGUGCCCUUUGCAGUGACAAAACUAUGAGGGAGCCUGCUGUGCGUGUGCCAGGGCCUGCAGGGCAGAUCCCCCGACCCUCACAGUGACCUCUGAGCUAUGAGAUUUUGUCCCCAUUUCACAUGUGAGAAAUCUGAAGUUCAGAUGAAUGAAGCUGUUUCCCCAAGAUCAUUCUGCCAAGAAGCAGAAGAGCCCAAGCGCAGACAGUCUGGAGCCCACGUUCUUGCUGCCAACUCUCACGACGGCUUGGGGGCUCCGCCCCAGGCAGGUCCCACGCUGAGACCCAGGCUCAGAACGAACUCUUCUGUGUUUCUCCACACAGGCCAAGUGUGCCCGCCUGCCGUGGCUCACGCUUGCCCACUGCCUGCAACAAACGCCCUUGCGCAGAGUAGGUGCUUCCGGAAGCGUCUGCAGGAAGGUGAUUGCAGAGUGGAGGGUUGGUCCAGACCCCUGGGGUUGAAGCCUGAGAAGGGUCAAAGCAGAGGUGUGGAGGUGUCUCCCUCCAGAGCGGUCCUCGGUGACUGCAGGAGGCUCCGGGCGCCUGUCUGGCACAGGGAUGGAGGCCAGGCGUGCACUGCUGCUCCCUGCCCAGCCUGCUGUUUGCCAACUUCUGUGAGCUUGAGCGGCUGGUUCUGGUUCAAGGGCUCUGAGCUGGCUCAGCCCCAAACCAGGGCCUCUUCCUGGGCCUCAAUGAAGCAUGCCUGUGAGUCAGCACUGAGCUGCAAGCUGAGCAACAGGCAGGCUGGUGUGGGGGGAGCAGAGGCUGAGAGGAAGGGGGCUGGGCUGGUACCUGGAAGAACCCACAUCCUUGAAGCCUCCGGUGGCUUCAAGAUCUUUGCCCCUGCAGCUCUUUCCAGAAGUUUCAACACACCUACUCUGCGGAUGAUGGCAGAUUGGUUCCAUGAUGUCUGAGAGGGUCAGGAGGCUUGCAGGAUGCAUGCCUGACCUACCAUCUUCCUUCCACCCAGGAACGACCUUCUGAAAACCACUCUACACACCUGUAGCCCAAAGUAGUAGCCUGAAGGAAUGCUAAGGAGGACACUUGUGAUUGUUAAAUCCUCUGAACUGACCAGAACCAGAAGGAGAGGGGGGAAAAGAAACGGGACUGGAGGUGGCAAGAGAGUCCUCGAGGGGUUGUUCUUUUGGCAAAGAAGUCAAGAUAUCAGGAUCCCAAGGGGAGAAAAGUGCAAAACCAAGCCAGGAAAACGGAAAAAAAACCCAAGGUAGAGAGGUUGGUGGCGGAGAGGGCCGGUCAGGGCACCGGGCAAAGGAAGAGACUGUGUGCACUCGCCAGCACCGGGGCGCGGGCGGCGAGGACUGGCGUGUCCGUUUCUGUCACUGAGUGGGUGAUAGCUGGGCAGCAAACAGCAAUCUGUAAACAUCACGAGGGAAAACACCAGUCGACACUAGACUUUUUUUUUUUUAUAUAAUUUUUUUUUUUUGUAAACACUUUAAAGACAGACCCACAAUGCCUUUCAAAGGUGAAAAUGAAAAUGCCCUUUCCCUCCUGGGCUGAGGGGUGAGGGGAAGGAUA